CUUUGUACACGCAAAUGCUAGCUCUCUGGAAAAUUGAAUGCGUGCCCUGGUGAAUUUUCGGUUAUUAAUUCGAAGUCUGUUUCUAUAACGUGGUGAUUGAUAUUUGUGUUGGGGAUUUGCAAUAACCAGUCGAAAGGUUCACGGGAAAUACUUAUCAACAUGGGCACUAAAACUGUUGGGAGGAAAGGGCGUGAGGGAGACAAAAAGAAAAAUGAAGUCCAUUCCUCCAAGGAUAUGACUCCCUGUGCAAAUUCAUCAGCUGUGAGUAUAGGGGAAGGUUUGACUUUGAGUAAUGAGCAUGAGGAAAAGAACACUAAGAGGCACAAGGCUAAUGGUUGUGAUUUUGAGCUAAGUGCUACUGAAACUGAGGAUGUUAGCCUAGGGGGUGACAUAGAUCUAAGUAAUCAUGAGAUAGAGAAGAAUAGGAAGAAGAAGAAAAGGAAGUCAGAGCAGAUUAAUGCUGAAUCUUAUGUAGUAUCUCAGACAGUCAGAAAGCGAAAUAAGGCAGGUGAUACUGGUGGGGAAGUUAGUGAAAGUAAAGAGGAUUUGAAGGAGGCCUGUACUGGAGUAGGGGAGAAGAUGAGCCUGCAAAAGGACGGCAAAAUAGAUCUGGAGAGCAAUUAUGAGUCUGGAGUACUAAAAGAUAGGAAAAAUAAGCACAAGAAGAAAAAGAGCAAAGAUAAAAAUGAAAAUGGAAGUGAUCACUUGGAUGAAAUUAUCACGGAUUAUGUUGAGUCUCCAAGGAAGGAGAGGAAGAAAAAGCAGCAGCAGCAGCAUCUCAAUGUUGAUUUGGAGGCUAAGUCACCAAAAGUCAUGGCUGAGACACCUGGUAAUGAAAGUAAUGCAAUUGAGGAAAAUGGCGGUAACAUUGAUUCAGCUGAAGAUGAAAACCUAGAUGCUCAUGCUCUUUAUGCAGAGGAUGGAAGAAAAGAUGAAAAGAAGAGAAAAAAGCGGAAGAGGGAGAAGGAUGUUAGGGAUACUGGGGUAAUGAUUGAUGAAAGUGAUCGAAAAGAUGUUGGAAAUGAAAGUGAAUUGGAUGGAAAUAUCAUGAAAAAUGUUGAACCUUCAAGGAAGGAGAGUAAGAAAAAGAAAAAGCAUAAUGUUUAUUUGGAAGCUGCAUCUCGGGAAAGAAUGGAUGGGAAAUUAGGUAACCAAAACAAUCAAAUGGGAGAAAAUGAAGGUAAUGAAUAUU
This 1192-nucleotide unclassified non-coding RNA is filed under the name Hevea brasiliensis (rubber tree). Lineage: Eukaryota; Viridiplantae; Streptophyta; Magnoliopsida; Malpighiales; Euphorbiaceae. The record is from RNAcentral.